CAGCAGCCGCGGUAAAACGGAGGGAGCUAGCGUUGUUCGGAAUUACUGGGCGUAAAGCGCACGUAGGCGGUUAUUCAAGUCAGAGGUGAAAGCCCAGUGCUCAACACUGGAACUGCCUUUGAAACUAGAUAACUUGAAUCCAGGAGAGGUGAGUGGAAUUCCGAGUGUAGAGGUGAAAUUCGUAGAUAUUCGGAAGAACACCAGUGGCGAAGGCGGCUCACUGGACUGGUAUUGACGCUGAGGUGCGAAAGCGUGGGGAGCAAACAGGAUUAGAUACCCCCGUAGUCCCUGUCUCUUAUAC
Molecule: ribosomal RNA, 301 nt
Filed under: uncultured bacterium
Lineage: Bacteria
Description: partial 16S ribosomal RNA
Rfam family: Bacterial small subunit ribosomal RNA
Source: RNAcentral